CCUACGGGUGGCAGCAGUCGAGAAUCAUUCACAAUGGGGGAAACGCUGAUGGUGCGACGCCGCGUGGGGGAAUGAAGGUCUUCGGAUUGUAAACCCCUGUCAUGUGGGAGCAAAUUAAUAAGAUAGUACCACAAGAGGAAGAGACGGCUAACUCUGUGCCAGCAGCCGCGGUAAUACAGAGGUCUCAAGCGUUGUUCGGAAUCACUGGGCGUAAAGGGUGCGUAGGCUGUUUCGUAAGUCGUGUGUGAAAGGCGGGGGCUCAACCCGCGGACGGCAGAUGAUACUGGGAGACUAGAGUAAGGGAGGGGGAAGCGGAAUUCGUGGUGUAGCGGUGAAAUGCGUAGAUAUCGAGAGGAACACUCGUGGCGAAGGCGGGUUCCUGGACAUUAACUGACGCUGAGGCACGAAGGCCAGGGGAGCGAAAGGGAUUAGAUACCCGUGUAGUC
This 446-nucleotide ribosomal RNA is filed under the name uncultured bacterium. RNAcentral describes it as "partial 16S ribosomal RNA". It matches the Rfam family "Bacterial small subunit ribosomal RNA", at positions 338 to 795 of the family's 1533-position model. The record is from RNAcentral.